GGCACUCCACAGCCCGAGUAGAUGAAGGCUCACUAACUGGUGCUCAAUAACACUCCCUCGAGACUGUCGAUGGGUUAGGCUGAAGGGUCAUCUGUAUGCUCCAAUGAUUAAUUCAGUAUGACCAGAUAACAGUCAUCAACUGAUUACAUCCAGUCGACCAACUUUUCACUGCUGAACAAACCACGACUUUGAACUUUCCCACC
This 203-nucleotide long non-coding RNA is filed under the name Elaeis guineensis (African oil palm). RNAcentral's name for it is "long non-coding RNA (EGUI_LNC044129)". The record is from RNAcentral. Lineage: Eukaryota; Viridiplantae; Streptophyta; Magnoliopsida; Arecales; Arecaceae.